RNAcentral lists this ribosomal RNA (292 nucleotides) under uncultured bacterium. RNAcentral describes it as "partial 16S ribosomal RNA". The record is from RNAcentral.
GGACUACUGGGGUAUCUAAUCCUGUUUGCUCCCCACGCUGUCGCGCAUCAGUGUCAGCAACUGCCCAGCAGGCCGCCUUCGCCACCGGUGUUCUUCCGGAUCUCUACGCAUUCCACCGCUACACCCGGAAUUCCACCUGCCUCUACAGUGCUCAAGCCCGGGAGUAUCGACGGCCGAUUCAGGGUUGAGCCCUGAACUUUCACCGUUGACUUCCCGCGCCACCUACGCGCCCUUUACGCCCAGUGAUUCCGGACAACGCUCGCACCCUCCGUAUUACCGCGGCUGCUGGCAC